This 406-nucleotide ribosomal RNA is filed under the name uncultured bacterium. RNAcentral describes it as "partial 16S ribosomal RNA". It matches the Rfam family "Bacterial small subunit ribosomal RNA", at positions 30 to 526 of the family's 1533-position model. The record is from RNAcentral.
AUUGAACGCUGGCGGCCGGCCUAACACAUGCAAGUCGAACGAGUGGCGGACGGGUGAGUAAUGUCUGGGAAACUGCCCGAUGGAGGGGGAUAACUACUGGAAACGGUAGCUACUACCGCAUACCAUCGGAUGUGCCCAGAUGGGAUUAGCGAGUAGGUGGGGUAACGGCUCACCUAGGCGACGAUCCCUAGCUGGUCCGAGAGGAUGACCGGCCACACUGGGACUGAGACACGGUCCAGACUCCUACGGGAGGGAGCAGUGGGGAAUAUUGCACAAUGGGCGCAAGCCUGAUGCAGCCAUGCCGCGUGUAUGAAGAAGGCCUUCGGGUUGUAAAGUACUUUCAGCGAGGAGGCGUUACUCGCAGAGGAAGCACCGGCUAACUCCGUGCCAGCAGCCGCGGUAAUUC